CAGCUGCUGACAGACACAUGCUGAACCUGACAGAUACAAAUGGCUUCAAUAAUUAGACCUGAGAUUCUGGUUGUUUUUCUCAUCCUCACAGUUAACAUGGCUGGUACUGAUGGUAAAACACUGACUGAGUCUCAACCAGCAAUUAAAGGGCCUGGAGAAUCCCACAGACUGACCUGCACAUAUUCAGGGUUUAGUAGAGACUACCGGAACGCUUGGAUCAGACAGGCAGCUGGAAAAGGACUGGAGUGGAUUGCAACUAUCACUGGUGACAGUCGCAACAUCUACUACUCCCAGUCUUUUAAAGGCCGGUUCACCAUCUCCAGAGACAACAGCAGAAAGCAGGUGUAUCUGCAGAUGAACAGUUUAACCACAGAAGAUUCUGCUGUUUAUUACUGUGCUCGAUAG
Non-coding RNA from Melanotaenia boesemani (Boeseman's rainbowfish), 405 nucleotides. NCBI's taxonomy places the organism in Eukaryota, Metazoa, Chordata, Actinopteri, Atheriniformes, Melanotaeniidae. The record is from the annotation of a RefSeq genome assembly.